Molecule: long non-coding RNA, 2208 nt
Filed under: Medicago truncatula (barrel medic)
Lineage: Eukaryota; Viridiplantae; Streptophyta; Magnoliopsida; Fabales; Fabaceae
Description: lncRNA gene21987
Source: RNAcentral
CUCUCUGAUUUUGGACUGCUCCAAACCUCUUUGCAAAUGCCUUCAUCAUCAAGCAAGUUAGUUAGAUAAAAAUAUAAGAGCUCCACUUGCUUAAAUGUUUCAAUUUUUACGUAGAGCAGCAUUAACAAAACAACAAGCAAACUUUAUCUCACUAAAUCUUAAUAAUAUGUAACUGGACCAAAUGAUGUUAUAAUGUUCAAACCAUUGGCCUCUAAAUUUUAAUAUUUUGUAUAUGUAUGAAUCUACAGUCAAUUAAAAAUAUACAUUAAAGAUAACAGUGAUAUAGCAAAUAUCCCAUGUACAAUUAUAACGCAAGCAUAUUUGAAGAAAAAUAAGGCCAAAAGGUGAGCAAUGUACAGAAACACAUGAAAAUACGUUUAACAAUACACAGUUAAAAAAAAAAAAAAAAAAAAGCAAUCUCAUGAACAGAUCGUUGAAACUUGGGAAAUAUACACUUCCAUGUCAUUUAGAAAAAGAAACAAAUGCAAGCUUUUCGAACUGGAUUAUAAUUCUUCAAAGAAAAAUGAUAAAAAAAAUAAAAAAAACAGAUGCAAGUUAGUGAACCUCAAAAUGCAGUCCACCUUUCAAAACCUUACUUAUUCUCACUUAUUAAAAAUUUCAUUAAAUUAUGAAUCACAAGUAGGUAACAAACAUUGUUGAUUAAACCACAUUAAGCCAUAGCCAGAAACAUCAUAUCCCUAUUUAGCCAUACUACACUAACUAAGUAACUAACUGAUCCAAUUCAUCAUAUUUUACAACUAACUAAACUAAUUAUUGACUAUUUUCUUUUAUCCUAUCUUUUUAACUUCCAAGAUCACAAGUCCUCGUCUAAUUAACAAAUGGAAGAUUAAUCUGCCUAUAGCAUAUUAUCAUUGAGAUUAUUCAGAAAGCACAAAACCCUGUUCAAGCUAUGGUUUUAAAAACCUUGAUCUUUAUCUACGAAGCACUGAACCAUACUCGGACACCUAUGAAACACUAACAGACUCAUGAGAUACCUGACAACACCCGUAGUAAUUUGAAAACAGAUGUGUUAUUUGAACAUAAAAAACACUUGAAACCGUACGCGAUUUCAAUUUCUUUAGUUUGAAACAUCAUUUCUCUUUUGAAAAAUGUAAGUGAUUCUCUAUAACUUUUAAUGUUUUACUUUUGGAGGAGCUAAAGUUGAUUCUAGAAGUGUAGAAUUAAUUGACAUAUUUGGUUGCUUUUGAGUAGAAUCGAUUUUGUUAUGAUUUGUUGCUUUCAAUUUACUUUUUAAAUCACUUUAUGUGACAAAAAUUGAUUUUGAAUGAAUUGGUUUUAUAAAAUUGAUUCCGACUAAAAUGAGUCGAAGGUAAAGUGAUUUGAACGUGUAAAAUUUAUUUUAGAAUCAAAAGCUACAACUCUUAACUUUAAGUACAAUCAAUUAUAAAAGGCAAAAUCAAUUCUACUUGAAAACAGCCAAACAAGAUACACCCUCAGGUCACUAUUAUAAGCAAAAAUUCAUUUUCUAGGUUCAUUCAUUAAAUGUUGUACGUGGUCUAUGUUUAGGUUACAUAACAUUUAAUGAAUGAACUUAAAAUAUGGUUUUUUUCUUAUAAUAGUGACCAGAGGGUAUACAACUCUUAUCAAUUUUGCACUUGAAAUCAAUUUAUGUACGACAACAAAACCAAAACACAUGUUUGGGUGUCAUAUGAUGUCCGUGUCCAUCUUCGGUAUUAAAAGUGUUCACACCUUCAUAAAUAUGAAGUGACCCAGUAAUUUAAUUAAAUUUAAUUAUUCAAAAUAAAGAAAGUAAAUUUGAUUCACAAACUCCAACAAGUAAAAAAAGUAGCGAACCUGUCUUAAAACAACAACUUUAUGAUCAUCAUCAGGUUCUUCAAUUUCCACAAUACGCAAUCUUCUUUCUUUCUUCUUCUCUUUCACCUUCUCCUUUUCAUUCACAUUCUUUUUCUUCUUCUUCUUUUCAUCAUCACUUCCACUUUCAACACCAAAUGUAUACUUCCUAUUAUUCCCACUAUCUUCCCCCUUUCCUUUAAUCUCAGCCGUCCAUUUCACAUUCUUCACAACCGCACUUUUCUUCUUCUCUUCUUCAACCAAUUCAGCUAUCCAUUUAUACUUUCUAUCAAACCCAUUCUUCUCUCCAUCUUUUAUCUCAGCCGUCCACGUGUACUUCCGACCACCACUACCACCGCCGCUGUCAUUCUUCUUCUCUUUCUUCUUCCCCUUCCC